CAGUACCGCGGUAAUACGGAGGGUGCAAGCGUUACUCGGAAUCACUGGGCGUAAAGGACGCGUAGGCGGAUUAUCAAGUCUCUUGUGAAAUCUAACGGCUUAACCGUUAAACUGCUUGGGAAACUGAUAAUCUAGAGUAAGGGAGAGGCAGAUGGAAUUCUUGGUGUAGGGGUAAAAUCCGUAGAUAUCAAGAAGAAUACCUAUUGCGAAGGCGAUCUGCUGGAACUUAACUGACGCUGAUGCGUGAAAGCGUGGGGAGCAAACAGGAUUAGAUACCCCCGUAGUCCCUGUCUCUUAUACC
Molecule: ribosomal RNA, 301 nt
Filed under: uncultured bacterium
Lineage: Bacteria
Description: partial 16S ribosomal RNA
Rfam family: Bacterial small subunit ribosomal RNA
Source: RNAcentral